RNAcentral lists this ribosomal RNA (492 nucleotides) under uncultured bacterium. RNAcentral describes it as "partial 16S ribosomal RNA". It matches the Rfam family "Bacterial small subunit ribosomal RNA", at positions 29 to 507 of the family's 1533-position model. The record is from RNAcentral.
AGUGAACGCUGGCGGUAGGCCUAACACAUGCAAGUCGAACGGCAGCACAGUAAGAGCUUGCUCUUACGGGUGGCGAGUGGCGGACGGGCGAGGAAUACAUCGGAAUCUACUUUUUCGUGGGGGAUAACGUAGGGAAACUUACGCUAAUACCGCAUACGACCUACGGGUGAAAGCAGGGGAUCUUCGGACCUUGCGCGAUUGAAUGAGCCGAUGUCGGAUUAGCUAGUUGGCGGGGUAAAGGCCCACCAAGGCGACGAUCCGUAGCUGGUCUGAGAGGAUGAUCAGCCACACUGGAACUGAGACACGGUCCAGACUCCUACGGGAGGCAGCAGUGGGGAAUAUUGGACAAUGGGCGCAAGCCUGAUCCUGCCAUACCGCGUGGGUGAAGAAGGCCUUCGGGUUGUAAAGCCCUUUUGUUGGGAAAGAAAAGCAGCAGGUUAAUACCCCGCUGUUCUGACGGUACCCAAAGAAUAAGCACCGGCUAACUUCGUG